GUGUUGUAUGAAAGAAGAGAUUAGUAUUGUCUUUGAUAAGGAUAGAAGAUGUCUAGUUUACAACACAGAUACAGUUAAGGUAUUGCCACCUACUCCCUGGCAUCUAUCCAUGUUUGAUA
This 119-nucleotide non-coding RNA is filed under the name Notamacropus eugenii (tammar wallaby). The record is from RNAcentral. Lineage: Eukaryota; Metazoa; Chordata; Mammalia; Diprotodontia; Macropodidae.